Molecule: ribosomal RNA, 253 nt
Filed under: uncultured bacterium
Lineage: Bacteria
Description: partial 16S ribosomal RNA
Rfam family: Bacterial small subunit ribosomal RNA
Source: RNAcentral
UACGGAGGGGGCGAGCGUUGUCCGAAGUUACUGGGCGUGAAGCGCGUGUAGGCGGGUUGUCAAGUCCGCUGUGAAAGCCCGAGGCUCAACCUCGGAGGGUCGGUGGAUACUGACAGUCUUGAAGGUGCUAGGGGGAGAUGGAAUUACCGGUGUAGCGGUGAAAUGCGUAGAGAUCGGUAGGAACACCAGUGGCGAAGGCGGUCUCCUGGGGCAUUCUUGACGCUGAGACGCGAAAGCUGGGGGAGCAAACGGG